RNAcentral lists this ribosomal RNA (811 nucleotides) under Arthrobacter sp. Its description in RNAcentral is "bacterial SSU rRNA". It matches the Rfam family "Bacterial small subunit ribosomal RNA", at positions 63 to 883 of the family's 1533-position model. Lineage: Bacteria; Bacillati; Actinomycetota; Actinomycetes; Micrococcales; Micrococcaceae. The record is from RNAcentral.
CGAACGAUGAUCCGGUGCUUGCAUCGGGGAUUAGUGGCGAACGGGUGAGUAACACGUGAGUAACCUGCCCUUGACUCUGGGAUAAGCCUGGGAAACUGGGUCUAAUACCGGAUAUGACCUUCCAUCGCAUGGUGGUUGGUGGAAAGCUUUUGUGGUUUUGGAUGGACUCGCGGCCUAUCAGCUUGUUGGUGGGGUAAUGGCCUACCAAGGCGACGACGGGUAGCCGGCCUGAGAGGGUGACCGGCCACACUGGGACUGAGACACGGCCCAGACUCCUACGGGAGGCAGCAGUGGGGAAUAUUGCACAAUGGGCGCAAGCCUGAUGCAGCGACGCCGCGUGAGGGAUGACGGCCUUCGGGUUGUAAACCUCUUUCAGUAGGGAAGAAGCCGUAAGGUGACGGUACCUGCAGAAGAAGCGCCGGCUAACUACGUGCCAGCAGCCGCGGUAAUACGUAGGGCGCAAGCGUUAUCCGGAAUUAUUGGGCGUAAAGAGCUCGUAGGCGGUUUGUCGCGUCUGCCGUGAAAGUCCGGGGCUCAACUCCGGAUCUGCGGUGGGUACGGGCAGACUAGAGUGAUGUAGGGGAGACUGGAAUUCCUGGUGUAGCGGUGAAAUGCGCAGAUAUCAGGAGGAACACCGAUGGCGAAGGCAGGUCUCUGGGCAUUAACUGACGCUGAGGAGCGAAAGCAUGGGGAGCGAACAGGAUUAGAUACCCUGGUAGUCCAUGCCGUAAACGUUGGGCACUAGGUGUGGGGGACAUUCCACGUUUUCCGCGCCGUAGCUAACGCAUUAAGUGCCCCGCCUGGGGAGUAC